GGAAUUAUUGGGCGUAAAGCGUCCGUAGGCGGUUUAUCAAGUCUGCCGUUAAAGACUGCAGCUUAACUGUGGGUAGGCGGUGGAAACUGAUGAACUAGAGUACGGUAGGGGUAGAGGGAAUUCCCAGUGUAGCGGUGAAAUGCGUAGAUAUUGGGAAGAACACCAGUGGCGAAGGCGCUCUACUGGGCCGUAACUGACGCUGAGGGACGAAAGCUAGGGGAGCGAAAGGGAUUAGAUACCCCUGUAGUCA
Molecule: ribosomal RNA, 250 nt
Filed under: uncultured cyanobacterium
Lineage: Bacteria; Bacillati; Cyanobacteriota
Description: partial 16S ribosomal RNA
Rfam family: Bacterial small subunit ribosomal RNA
Source: RNAcentral